CCACAGACCAGACGUGUUGCGCCGCGCAGCAUCGUACAGCAUCCAAAAAUUGGAAACCAUUGCAAUUAAUUGAGGUGCGCACUCCAUACUUGGCGACUCCCAAAUGCGGGAAUCUCGACUGCAUAAUUUCUGGUAGUGGGGGACUGCGUUCGUGCUCUCCCCCU
This is a small nuclear RNA of Colossoma macropomum (tambaqui), 164 nucleotides long. RefSeq annotates it as U1 spliceosomal RNA. NCBI's taxonomy places the organism in Eukaryota, Metazoa, Chordata, Actinopteri, Characiformes, Serrasalmidae. The transcript has a single exon. The record is from RefSeq and is a predicted model, not a curated record.